GUCGAGCGGCGGACGGGUGAGUAAUGCCUAGGAAAUUGCCCUGAUGUGGGGGAUAACCAUUGGAAACGAUGGCUAAUACCGCAUGAUGCCUACGGGCCAAAGAGGGGGACCUUCGGGCCUCUCGCGUCAGGAUAUGCCUAGGUGGGAUUAGCUAGUUGGUGAGGUAAGGGCUCACCAAGGCAACGAUCCCUAGCUGGUCUGAGAGGAUGAUCAGCCACACUGGAACUGAGACACGGUCCAGACUCCUACGGGAGGCAGCAGUGGGGAAUAUUGCACAAUGGGCGCAAGCCUGAUGCAGCCAUGCCGCGUGUGUGAAGAAGGCCUUCGGGUUGUAAAGUACUUUCAGUCGUGAGGAAGGUGGUGUAGUUAAUAGCUGCAUUAUUUGACGUUAGCGACAGAAGAAGCACCGGCUAACUCCGUGCCAGCAGCCGCGGUAAUACGGAGGGUGCGAGCGUUAAUCGGAAUUACUGGGCGUAAAGCGCAUGCAGGUGGUUUGUUAAGUCAGAUGUGAAAGCCCGGGGCUCAACCUCGGAAUAGCAUUUGAAACUGGCAGACUAGAGUACUGUAGAGGGGGGUAGAAUUUCAGGUGUAGCGGUGAAAUGCGUAGAGAUCUGAAGGAAUACCGGUGGCGAAGGCGGCCCCCUGGACAGAUACUGACACUCAGAUGCGAAAGCGUGGGGAGCAAACAGGAUUAGAUACCCUGGUAGUCCACGCCGUAAACGAUGUCUACUUGGAGGUUGUGGCCUUGAGCCGUGGCUUUCGGAGCUAACGCGUUAAGUAGACCGCCUGGGGAGUACGGUCGCAAGAUUAAAACUCAAAUGAAUUGACGGGGGCCCGCACAAGCGGUGGAGCAUGUGGUUUAAUUCGAUGCAACGCGAAGAACCUUACCUACUCUUGACAUCCAGAGAACUUUCCAGAGAUGGAUUGGUGCCUUCGGGAACUCUGAGACAGGUGCUGCAUGGCUGUCGUCAGCUCGUGUUGUGAAAUGUUGGGUUAAGUCCCGCAACGAGCGCAACCCUUAUCCUUGUUUGCCAGCGAGUAAUGUCGGGAACUCCAGGGAGACUGCCGGUGAUAAACCGGAGGAAGGUGGGGACGACGUCAAGUCAUCAUGGCCCUUACGAGUAGGGCUACACACGUGCUACAAUGGCGCAUACAGAGGGCGGCCAACUUGCGAAAGUGAGCGAAUCCCAAAAAGUGCGUCGUAGUCCGGAUUGGAGUCUGCAACUCGACUCCAUGAAGUCGGAAUCGCUAGUAAUCGUGGAUCAGAAUGCCACGGUGAAUACGUUCCCGGGCCUUGUACACACCGCCCGUCACACCAUGGGAGUGGGCUGCAAAAGAAGUAGGU
This 1345-nucleotide ribosomal RNA is filed under the name Vibrio alginolyticus. RNAcentral describes it as "16S ribosomal RNA". It matches the Rfam family "Bacterial small subunit ribosomal RNA", at positions 90 to 1431 of the family's 1533-position model. The record is from RNAcentral. Lineage: Bacteria; Pseudomonadati; Pseudomonadota; Gammaproteobacteria; Vibrionales; Vibrionaceae.